AUGAUAUACAAGGGGUCCUGGGUCUGCACGAGAUCGGACAAUACCUGCUGCUGUGGCAGGCUGUGUGCCACACCAUCCUGUCAAACGAGCCGGAUCGCCUGCUCUGGAGGUGGACCACCAAUGGCAUCUACUCGGCGCGCUCGUGCUAUGCGGCCAGUUUUCAGGGAUCCACACGGUGCCAUUCUUGGAAGCUGGUAUGGAAGAGCUGGGCGCCUCCACGGGUAA
Molecule: ribosomal RNA, 225 nt
Filed under: Triticum aestivum (bread wheat)
Lineage: Eukaryota; Viridiplantae; Streptophyta; Magnoliopsida; Poales; Poaceae
Description: partial small subunit ribosomal RNA
Source: RNAcentral